CCUACGGGGGGCUGCAGUGGGGAAUAUUGGACAAUGGGGGCAACCCUGAUCCAGCCAUGCCGCGUGUGUGAAGAAGGCCCUCGGGUUGUAAAGCACUUUCAGUGAGGAAGAACGCCUGGUGGUUAAUACCCAUCAGGAAAGACAUCACUCACAGAAGAAGCACCGGCUAACUCCGUGCCAGCAGCCGCGGUAAUACGGAGGGUGCGAGCGUUAAUCAGAAUUACUGGGCGUAAAGCGCGCGUAGGUGGCUUGAUAAGCCGGUUGUGAAAGCCCCGGGCUCAACCUGGGAACGGCAUCCGGAACUGUCAAGCUAGAGUGCAGGAGAGGAAGGUAGAAUUCCCGGUGUAGCGGUGAAAUGCGUAGAGAUCGGGAGGAAUACCAGUGGCGAAGGCGGCCUUCUGGACUGACACUGACACUGAGGUGCGAAAGCGUGGGUAGCAAACAGGAUUAGAUACCCCUGUAGUC
Molecule: ribosomal RNA, 465 nt
Filed under: Vreelandella stevensii
Lineage: Bacteria; Pseudomonadati; Pseudomonadota; Gammaproteobacteria; Oceanospirillales; Halomonadaceae
Description: partial 16S ribosomal RNA
Rfam family: Bacterial small subunit ribosomal RNA
Source: RNAcentral